CAGAGGGGCAAGCGUUGUUCGGAAUUACUGGGCGUAAAGGGCGCGUAGGCGGCCUGUUAAGUCGAACGUGAAAUCCCCGGGCCCAACCCGGGAACUGCGUCCGAAACUGGCAGGCUCGAAUCCGGGAGAGGGAUGCGGAAUUCCAGGUGUAGCGGUGAAAUGCGUAGAUAUCUGGAGGAACAUCGGUGGCGAAGGCGGCAUCCUGGACCGGUAUUGACGCUGAGGCGCGAAAGCCAGGGGAGCAAACGGGAUUAGAUACCCCGGUAGUCCUGGCCCUAAACGAUGAAUGCUUGGUGUGGCGGGUAUCGAUCCCUGCCGUGCCGAAGCUAACGCAUUAAGCAUUCCGCCUGGGGAGUACGGUCGCAAGGCUG
This 371-nucleotide ribosomal RNA is filed under the name uncultured organism. RNAcentral describes it as "bacterial SSU rRNA". It matches the Rfam family "Bacterial small subunit ribosomal RNA", at positions 527 to 896 of the family's 1533-position model. The record is from RNAcentral.